Molecule: long non-coding RNA, 812 nt
Organism: Passer montanus (Eurasian tree sparrow)
Lineage: Eukaryota; Metazoa; Chordata; Aves; Passeriformes; Passeridae
Exons: 3
Source: RefSeq, a predicted model, not a curated record
CUGUGUCUGCGAGGAGAGAGCUCGGCUGGGGCAGGGACGUGGCACCGGGGCAAGAGGAAUCUAUUAACCCUGGGGAAGCAGAGAGCAGCUGGAGGCUGCAGGCGGUCCCGUAACGAGGUAAACGAUAUAAGCUGGGGAUCAAACAGGAAUUACUCACGGACUUGUUCCUCAGCGCUUCCACUUCGGCUGUUAGAGCCUCUGCCUCACAGAUGUCAAAUGCAGGCAAUUUAAAGCUACCUAAAGCCAUAGCUGAAAUUAACCCCUGCUGUGUCCCAGUCUGCAUCUGCAGGCACCCUCCUGUAAGGAAGCGAGCCAGGGGCUCUGCUCGGUGCCCUGUGCGUGGGCUGCGGUUCAAGGAGAGCAGUAGGUGUUGGGCUGAUACAGGCCUGCGCACACUCUGUAGAGGAGAAUUUCUGAUCUAAUGAACCUCUGUUUUGCCCAUUUCUUUCCCCUUAUAGACUGAGGACCCUCUCAUGUAAGGAAACAGUGUCCAGCCUUUGUUCCCCUUUCCUUGCCUGAUGGGUGUGUUCAGAUGGAUGUGCACCAAGCAUGGCCUCAGUAGCGAGAGAUUAGCUCUUCUGCCAGGCCAGCAGAAGGAGCACAGGAUAUUCAGCUGCAGCCCAUCAGCACAGGAUUCAAUCUCCAGUUGCUAACAAUUGAGAAUAAACCAUGGUCCUAGCCACAGAAAUUCAAUACUGGAGCAACAACUCUUAUGGUAACUUCAGAGACCAGUCAAAGACACCUGAGGAAAGUCUGAUGUUAAGAGUCCAUCAAUCUUCUGAGCCAGUGUUUCUCGUCUGUCCUUCAGCCAC